GCAAGUCGAGCGAACAGAGAAGGAGCUUGCUCCUUUGACGUUAGCGGCGGACGGGUGAGUAACACGUGGGCAACCUACCCUAUAGUUUGGGAUAACUCCGGGAAACCGGGGCUAAUACCGAAUAAUUUAUUUCAUCUCAUGGUGAAAUACUGAAAGACGGUUUCGGCUGUCGCUAUAGGAUGGGCCCGCGGCGCAUUAGCUAGUUGGUGAGGUAACGGCUCACCAAGGCGACGAUGCGUAGCCGACCUGAGAGGGUGAUCGGCCACACUGGGACUGAGACACGGCCCAGACUCCUACGGGAGGCAGCAGUAGGGAAUCUUCCACAAUGGGCGAAAGCCUGAUGGAGCAACGCCGCGUGAGUGAAGAAGGAUUUCGGUUCGUAAAACUCUGUUGUAAGGGAAGAACAAGUACAGUAGUAACUGGCUGUACCUUGACGGUACCUUAUUAGAAAGCCACGGCUAACUACGUGCCAGCAGCCGCGGUAAUACGUAGGUGGCAAGCGUUGUCCGGAAUUAUUGGGCGUAAAGCGCGCGCAGGUGGUUUCUUAAGUCUGAUGUGAAAGCCCACGGCUCAACCGUGGAGGGUCAUUGGAAACUGGGAGACUUGAGUGCAGAAGAGGAUAGUGGAAUUCCAAGUGUAGCGGUGAAAUGCGUAGAGAUUUGGAGGAACACCAGUGGCGAAGGCGACUAUCUGGUCUGUAACUGACACUGAGGCGCGAAAGCGUGGGGAGCAAACAGGAUUA
RNAcentral lists this ribosomal RNA (742 nucleotides) under Lysinibacillus sphaericus. RNAcentral's name for it is "bacterial SSU rRNA". It matches the Rfam family "Bacterial small subunit ribosomal RNA", at positions 57 to 780 of the family's 1533-position model. Lineage: Bacteria; Bacillati; Bacillota; Bacilli; Caryophanales; Bacillaceae. The record is from RNAcentral.